UUGUUUGUUUCGGCAUUCAACUUUGAAGACCGGAAAAUUUUUCGGCCGAGAAGCCAAUUUUCAUUAUUAAUGGCCGCUAUCUUCAGUACACUUCUUUUCCUGCUCACUUUAUCAGGUUAAGUGCAGGUACUAAUGGAAAUGGGCUGGCUACUCCUAGCAUCAAUAAAGAGUCUUGCAAGCUUAGAUGUUUAUAAAUCUGUUGAACAAUGUUCCUUUUAUCUUGAUCCGCCUGUGGAUCCCUUACAACCGUUUUUGUAAUAAUUGAUAUUACUUUCAUUCGGUUUGUAAUGCCGUUAUCUU
This 300-nucleotide long non-coding RNA is filed under the name Helianthus annuus (common sunflower). RNAcentral's name for it is "sRNA HanXRQr2_Chr11g0510521". The record is from RNAcentral. Lineage: Eukaryota; Viridiplantae; Streptophyta; Magnoliopsida; Asterales; Asteraceae.